AGCACUUGUGUGUGUUUUUAUUUAACUUGUGGACAAAGACUUAUAGACAGGUGCAAAAAAUAAAUCCUCUUUCCCCCAGAACUUACUGUUCAGUAUGAGUUUUGAUACGCAUAAGAAUGAAUAUG
Molecule: small nucleolar RNA, 125 nt
Filed under: Castor canadensis (American beaver)
Lineage: Eukaryota; Metazoa; Chordata; Mammalia; Rodentia; Castoridae
Description: Small nucleolar RNA SNORA40 (ENSCCNG00000012617.1)
Rfam family: Small nucleolar RNA SNORA40
About the family: The snoRNA ACA 40 belongs to the H/ACA family of snoRNAs and guides the pseudouridylation of 28S rRNA subunit at position U4565. NB This family has a high threshold value to exclude a large number of closely related sequences that do not appear to have conserved H and ACA boxes, and may be pseudogenes.
Source: Rfam by way of RNAcentral